GAAGAGAGGGAGUGGAAUGAGCAGAAGUAGGCACCUUAGCAUCAGAGGUCCUCUUCUAUGGGUGCCCUGGGGACUGAGGACUCCUCCAUCUUCCUACUGCUGCUUCCUCUGUGUUGUUAGAAGAGUCCUUUAUACUGCUGGACCUGAGAAGCAACCUGGUUUGAUGAGAAAACAGAGACCCCGACACUGAGGUCUGAAUCUGCCACUUGUGGACUGCAUGAUGCUGAGCAAGCCAGUGAGGUACCUCUGUCUUCUCAUCUGGAAACCAGGCAUCGCCAUGCCUAUUUCAGAAGGGUCCUGUGAGCUCCAUCCCUGUUGUUCCAAAUGGACCAGCGGAGACCAUUUCUAUGUCCAUUUGGAGUGUUGGGACUGAAUGGGGAUGCAAAAGAGGACUGCACUUUGAGAACCACUGCUCUGGGAGAUGGAUGCUGAGGUACAAGAGAUGUACUGUUGGAUAUUUUGUUUUGCUGCAGUAAAUGUAAGUAUUCGAAACAGCAGACUUGCAGGGCUAAGGAAGAACUCUACGAUGCACCUGCACUCUCUUAGUGAUGCAUCCCACUCCUGUCUAUUAAAUAUCUGCUCAGUGCCAGGCAAUGUGCAGGCAAUGAGUAUCCGAGAGAGAGGGACAGACAUCAUCCCCGACCUAAUGGAAAAUGCACGCCCGUCAUUUUAAAUCCACAGAAGCUCAGAUUCAAAAAACAACAGAGUCUUAGAUUUGCCUUUUCUGGGUCUCAUUUGGUUAAAUUCUGACAGCUGUCACACAAUCAGAAUCAUUAAAAUCUAGUUUUCUGUGCUUAACUUGCUUCCACCGAUUAACUUUCCCCAACUUAUUAUAGUGGUCCUGACCUUGGUCUAUUCAUAAAAGACCAUAGCAACCACUAACCGGAUGGGUUGCUUUUUAUAGGAGCAGCACAGUUUUAUCUACUAGAGGCAUUGGCAGAUUUGGAUUACAUUGUAAAUAAAUUUAUCCAAUGCAAACAUUCACCAAUCUGCAUUGCAUUGUAAAUACAUUUUCCCAAGUGAUUGUUAAGUGAUGGCCUUACAAUCAUGUUGGCAUAAGAAAAACAACCAGAGAGAGAUUCAGUAGCUUUGUAGUAAGUGUUGAUGAAGGAAAUGGGAUUUGUAAGGUGACAGUCAGCUUGGAUUAGAUGGAUGGAAGGAGAGGGCCAUUUGGUGAGUCAAGGAAUCAUCAAGGAAUUGAAUUUGUGAUAGACAUUAAGUGUUGGCCAUACCUAUGUAAAUAUCUAUGUUAGAUGUUAAGUAUUCAGCUUUUUGCCCGUUCCCUGAGCUACACAUAGUCCCAAGAAGGGGUAUUAUUUAUAUACAAGUCAUCUAUUUCUGGAUAAAACAACCACAGCAAUCUCUGUGUCAUAUGGCAGUAAAGAUUUAUUCCAAUGGAUUGGCUGAGGUUUUGCUGGUCUGAUCUAGGCUGGGGCAGUCAGAUCUCACUGCAGGUCUGAGAUAGAAUGGAGUGUCUCAGCUUCACAUGGUUCUCACUUUCUUGGACCAGCAAGACAUACAGGAAAUGUUCCUUUCAUGGAAAUGGCAGUGGCAUAAGAGAACAAAGGGCUCUUAAGACAUAUGCUUAGAAGUGCACACUGCCACCCCCAUCUCAUUUGAUUCACCAGUGCAAGCCAAACGGACAAGCCCAAGGUCAAAGUGGAGUAUAUUCACUCCACCUUUGAUGAAGCAAGAAUUAGAUCCAGGUAGAGGUGAAGAAUUAGGGCUCAAAGCAAAUCUACCAUAUUCAUAAGUAAGUUUUCAUUCAUCUAUUAUUGCAUAGGCUCAUGUUAUAUGCCAGACACUGUGUGGGGCAGCAGGAGAGAUGUCCAUGUCAUAUUCCUAUACCACUCACUAGUUAGGAACCUGAUAAAAAGAGUUCUUUCUCGCAUUAUCUUCUAUAUGUUGUGUACGACAGUCUGCUAAGAAGUCUCUCUUCCUCUAUUCUGGCCCUUAAUUCAACCCAUCUUCCAAUGUGGCUGGAAUGAUCUUCCUAAACUGUAAAUUAGAUAUUAAACCUCUGUUUAAGCAGUUUAAAUGAUUCCCUCUUGGCAGUAGGAUAAAGUUCAGUCUCCCUAAGGUUGAUGCUUAAGCUGGUUCUCAUCUGAACCCCUAAACUGCCCAGCCUUGCCUUCUGCCAUUCCUCUGGUUACCAGCCACUUCCACAAAUGCCUUUUUUUUCUUCACUUUCCCUUUGUUCUAGCUCAAUGAUUCCUGACUUGGGGACCAGAGAUGGGCAGAUUGGGACAGGAGGGCUGUGAAGUCAUUGCAAGAGAUCUUAUCUAAAUACACAGUAAGCGUUGCUUGUCAAGUGAAUAAAUAAUACCCCCUGACACAAACACAGGCACUGUCAUUUUGGACCUUCACCUAGAUGCGAUUGUAAAGAAUGAACUUCAAAUUCUGCUAGAAGGAAGGGUUGAAUUAUGAGCUUUCCUUUGCAGUUAUUUCUUUUCUCAU
RNAcentral lists this long non-coding RNA (2457 nucleotides) under Homo sapiens (human). Its description in RNAcentral is "HSALNT0234361". The record is from RNAcentral. Lineage: Eukaryota; Metazoa; Chordata; Mammalia; Primates; Hominidae.